RNAcentral lists this ribosomal RNA (480 nucleotides) under Peptoniphilus sp. canine oral taxon 304. Its description in RNAcentral is "bacterial SSU rRNA". It matches the Rfam family "Bacterial small subunit ribosomal RNA", at positions 9 to 467 of the family's 1533-position model. Lineage: Bacteria; Bacillati; Bacillota; Tissierellia; Tissierellales; Peptoniphilaceae. The record is from RNAcentral.
GAGUUUGAUCAUGGCUCAGGACGAACGCUGGCGGCGCGCCUAACACAUGCAAGUCGAGCGAUGAAAAGGAUUUGGAGUUCUUCGGGACAAAGAAACCUUGGAUUAGCGGCGGACGGGUGAGUAACACGUGAGUAACCUGCCUUUGACAUGGGGAUAGCCUCGGGAAACCGUGAUUAAUACCCAAUAAUAUUUCUAGGUCGCAUGACAUGGAAAUCAAAGCGUUUAGCGGUCAAAGAUGGACUCGCGUCUGAUUAAUUAGUUGGUGAGGUAACGGCUCACCAAGAUAGCGAUCAGUAGCCGGCCUGAGAGGGUGAACGGCCACAUUGGAACUGAGAGACGGUCCAAACUCCUACGGGAGGCAGCAGUGGGGAAUAUUGCACAAUGGGGGGAACCCUGAUGCAGCGACGCCGCGUGAGCGAAGAAGGUUUUCGAAUCGUAAAGCUCUGUCCUAUGGGAAGAUAAUGACGUACCUGGAGAGCC